RNAcentral lists this ribosomal RNA (383 nucleotides) under uncultured eukaryote. RNAcentral's name for it is "partial 18S ribosomal RNA". It matches the Rfam family "Eukaryotic small subunit ribosomal RNA", at positions 592 to 976 of the family's 1831-position model. The record is from RNAcentral.
CAAUAGCGUAUAUUAAAGUUGUUGCGGUUAAAAAGCUCGUAGUUGGAUCUCGGCAGGCAGGGGGUGGUUCGCUCUUAGCGCUACUGCCCCAUUUGCCUGUGUGAUUGGCGGAGGUCUCGGGGUGCUCUUCGUUGAGUGACCCGGGGCGCCGUCAGGUUUACUUUGAAAAAAUUAGAGUGCUCAAAGCAGGCUUUUCACGCUUGAAUAUUCGUGCAUGGAAUAAUGGAAUAGGAACUCGUUUCUAUUUUGUUGGUUUUCGGAAAUCGAGUUAAUGAUUAAUAGGGACAAUUGGGGGCAUUAGUAUUCAGACGACAGAGGUGAAAUUCUUGGACCGUCUGAAGACUAACUACUGCGAAAGCAUUUGCCAAGAGUGUUUUCAUUAA